RNAcentral lists this ribosomal RNA (1372 nucleotides) under uncultured bacterium. Its description in RNAcentral is "bacterial SSU rRNA". It matches the Rfam family "Bacterial small subunit ribosomal RNA", at positions 28 to 1381 of the family's 1533-position model. The record is from RNAcentral.
GAUGAACGCUGGCGGCGUGCCUAAUACAUGCAAGUCGAGCGAACGGACGAGAAGCUUGCUUCUCUGAUGUUAGCGGCGGACGGGCGAGUAACACGUGGAUAACCUACCUAUAAGACUGGGGUAACUUCGGGAAACCGGAGCUAAUACCGGAUAAUAUUUUGAACCGCAUGGUUCAAAAGUGAAAGACGGUCUUGCUGUCACUUAUAGAUGGAUCCGCGCUGCAUUAGCUAGUUGGUAAGGUAACGGCUUACCAAGGCAACGAUGCAUAGCCGACCUGAGAGAGUGAUCGGCCACACUGGAACUGAGACACGGUCCAGACUCCUACGGGAGGCAGCAGUAGGGAAUCUUCCGCAAUGGGCGAAAGCCUGACGGAGCAACGCCGCGUGAGUGAUGAAGGUCUUCGGAUCGUAAAACUCUGUUAUUAGGGAAGAACAUAUGUGUAAGUAACUGUGCACAUCUUGACGGUACCUAAUCAGAAAGCCACGGCUAACUACGUGCCAGCAGCCGCGGUAAUACGUAGGUGGCAAGCGUUAUCCGGAAUUAUUGGGCGUAAAGCGCGCGUAGGCGGUUUUUUAAGUCUGAUGUGAAAGCCCACGGCUCAACCGUGGAGGGUCAUUGGAAACUGGAAAACUUGAGUGCAGAAGAGGAAAGUGGAAUUCCAUGUGUAGCGGUGAAAUGCGCAGAGAUAUGGAGGAACACCAGUGGCGAAGGCGACUUUCUGGUCUGUAACUGACGCUGAUGUGCGAAAGCGUGGGGAUCAAACAGGAUUAGAUACCCUGGUAGUCCACGCCGUAAACGAUGAGUGCUAAGUGUUAGGGGGUUUCCGCCCCUUAGUGCUGCAGCUAACGCAUUAAGCACUCCGCCUGGGGAGUACGACCGCAAGGUUGAAACUCAAGGGAAUUGACGGGGACCCGCACAAGCGGUGGAGCAUGUGGUUUAAUUCGAAGCAACGCGAAGAACCUUACCAAAUCUUGACAUCCUUUGACAACUCUAGAGAUAGAGCCUUCCCCUUCGGGGGACAAAGUGACAGGUGGUGCAUGGUUGUCGUCAGCUCGUGUCGUGAGAUGUUGGGUUAAGUCCCGCAACGAGCGCAACCCUUAAGCUUAGUUGCCAUCAUUAAGUUGGGCACUCUAAGUUGACUGCCGGUGACAAACCGGAGGAAGGUGGGGAUGACGUCAAAUCAUCAUGCCCCUUAUGAUUUGGGCUACACACGUGCUACAAUGGACAAUACAAAGGGCAGCGAAACCGCGAGGUCAAGCAAAUCCCAUAAAGUUGUUCUCAGUUCGGAUUGUAGUCUGCAACUCGACUACAUGAAGCUGGAAUCGCUAGUAAUCGUAGAUCAGCAUGCUACGGUGAAUACGUUCCCGGGUCU